CAUGUCGAUAACUAUAAGAAGUUCAUGACAAUUGUUCAUAGCAAGUUUUCUAUGUUUUGUUUAUAAUGUUCUUCAGUUGUGUAUAUGUUCUUCAUAACGAAUUUAAAAGAAACAUAGAAGAGACAGUGUCGAAUGUGAUUAAUUCUAAAAUAACACUCGACAGAGUGUAAUUUCAGUCUAAUUCAAAGAAAAAACUCUUCGUUUCACAAACAUCAAACUCUUCGUUAUUAUGAAGUUCAUCACAUAAGCUAUUUAACAGUAUGUAUAAUGUAUUGAACAAAGCUAUUUCAUGAUUUAAUUCAUUUUUCUUUCAUGCGAAAUCUAUUUGAAAACCAUAUCCAUGAAAAACAUAAAGCAUAUACGGUCAGAUUAUUAGUGAUUUUGGUUAAGAGGCAAGUUUAUUUUACUUGAACCGAACCAUAAUUAGUCUAUCAGUUUCGUGUGUAUUUGAAUGAGGAGGUGACGAAAAAAUCUUUUAUAAUGUGGUACACUCAUAAAUAAUAUAUGGAAUUUAGGUAACUAAAAUUUAUGUCUUUAUUUAUUAACAGAAAUAACUAAAUGCACAUAGCUCAAUGAAAAAAGGAAAAUUCAUAUCGAAUAUAUAUGCUUGAUUCACAAUUCUUUCAUGAGGUAAAUAUGGGAAUUUAUAUUUAAGAAAGAAAUUACUUUGUCACGAAGUUAUGAAUUGCCAAAAAAACUAGGUAAUUAAAAAUCGAUAUUAAUUGAUUUUGCGGUUUUGGAAGAAAAAACAUAAAUUUACAGGUUUGGCGGGAAAACAUAAUUUUACGAUUUUGGUGAAAAUGUGAUUUUGUGGGAAAAUAUAUUUUCACUGUUUUGACAAGAAAACAUAAUUUUAUGAUUUUGGUGAAAACGUGAUUUUGCAGUUUUGACGGAAAAACAUAAUUUUAUGGUUUUGACGGGAAACAUGAUUUUGUGGUUUAGAUUAGAAAACGUGAUUUUUCGGUUUAGGCCGGAAAACAUAAAUUUGUGAUUUUAGCGGAGAAUGAUUUUCAAGUUUUGAUGAGAAAACAUGAUUUUACGGUUUUGGCAGGA
RNAcentral lists this long non-coding RNA (1053 nucleotides) under Brassica napus (rape). RNAcentral's name for it is "long non-coding RNA (BNAP_LNC006611)". Lineage: Eukaryota; Viridiplantae; Streptophyta; Magnoliopsida; Brassicales; Brassicaceae. The record is from RNAcentral.